CUGAACACAAAAUGGCGACACGUGGUUAGCAUUCGUCGCCAACGAGAAAUUGGGGUCGGCCCGAAAGCUCUAGAAUGCACCCCUCUUCCUCCCCGGGGCCUUCCACCUCCGCGAGUUUUAUGACUUAAAAAAGCCCACAGGCUGGUCUGAAGAGGAAGACAAACAUAAAGAUGAAGUGCUUAAUUCAAGGUCACACAAUGUCGGGGAUGGACCUCCAGAUUUCCUUACUGACCUGCAUUAUCUUGUGGAUACCUGAGUGAAUUCCACACCACCCAUUUUAUAGAUGAAACCACUGAGACAUGGAGCAAUUGACUGAGUAGUCACUGCCCCACCCCUGCCUGGAGCCUCACACAUGACUCGCCUCCUCUCAGUGACCACAGGUUGGUUGAGGGGUUUAACAAGGCUAAGAAGGUGAGACGUGGUCUUGUAACACAGUGGUUAAGAAUGUGACUUUGGAGCCAGCCUGCUAGGGGCUGAAUUCUGACUCAGCCAUUUACUAACUGUGUGACCUUAGGUCACAGAAUUUUCCACACUCCUUGACAGAGGUGCUUAACCCUUAUCCAUCAGCAUUCUCAGACAGCACCUCCGGUUAGGGACAGUAUCUGACCGUCCGACAUCCCUGCAGCCCCCAUGUGUCACACAGACUCAGCCUCAGGUAGAUGGUUUCCGUAGAUGGUGGCUUUCUUUGGACCCUUGACAUCAACCAGUUACUAUUUGCUCCUGCAACCACCGCUGUACUUUCUGUCUCUAUGAACUUGACUACUCUAGACACCUCAUGUAAGUAGAAUCAUAGAGUAUUUGUCCUUUUAUGUCUGGUUCUUUCACUUAGCAUAAUGUUUUCAAGAUUCAUCCAUGUUGUAGCAUGUGUCAGAACUUCAUUGCUUUUUACGGCUGAAUAAUAUUCCAUUGUGUAACUGUACCACAUGUUCAUCUGUUCAGCCAUGCGUGGGCGCUUGGGUUGUUUCUUCCUUUCAGCUAUUGCAAACCAAUAAUGCUGCUGUGAACAUGGGUGCGCAAAUAUCUGUUUGAAUCCCUGCUUUCAGUUCUUUUGGGUCUAUACCUAAAGAAGUGGAAUUGCUGCAUCAUAUGGUAAUUCUAUGUUUAACUUCUUGGGGAACCACCAUAUCAUUUUCCACAGUGGCUGUAUACUACUUUACAUACCCACUGGCAAUGCACACAGAUUCCAGUUUCUCCACAUUCUCCCCAUUGUGGCAGGGGUUUUAAACCUCUUCAUCACGGGUGCACCCCCGGAGACUAGGGCAGUGCCUGGCACAUUGUAGGUGCUUGAUAAGUAUUUGUUGGAUGAAUGAAUGGGAGGCCUUGGCCUCAGAGCAGCUGUACCUGGGCACUCUCCUACCUGAAGGUGGCACCCAGUCAGUAAGUGUCCUACCCACACAGGGUCCAAAGACCUUCCCAUUCCAGUCCCUGUUCAGCUCUGAGACAACCAUCCUUUAUUUGUUAUUUAUUUAUUUAUUGAAACAGGGUUUCACUGUGGUGCAGGCUGGAGUGCAGUGGCAAGAUCAUAGCUCACUACAGCCUCGAACUCAUGGGCUCAAGUGAUCUUCCCACCUCAGCCUCCCAAGUAGCUGGGACUACAGGCAUGUGCUGCCC
Molecule: long non-coding RNA, 1611 nt
Organism: Homo sapiens (human)
Lineage: Eukaryota; Metazoa; Chordata; Mammalia; Primates; Hominidae
Gene: PCBP1-AS1
Product: PCBP1 antisense RNA 1
Source: Ensembl